GACGAGCGGCGGACGGGUGAGUAAUGUCUGGGAAACUGCCUGGUGGAGGGAUAACUACUGGAAACGGUAGCUAAUACCGCAUAACGUCGCAAGACCAAAGUGGGGGACCUUCGGCCUCAUGCCAUCAGAUGUGCCCAGAUGGGAUUAGCUGGUAGGUGGGGUAACGGCUCACCUAGGCGACGAUCCCUAGCUGGUCUGAGAGGAUGACCAGCCACCUGGAACUGAGACACGGUCCAGACUCCUACGGGAGGCAGCAGUGGGGAAUAUUGCACAAUGGGCGCAAGCCUGAUGCAGCCAUGCCGCGUGUGUGAAGAAGGCCUUCGGGUUGAAAGCACUUUCAGCGGGGAGGAAGGCGGUGAGGUUAAUAACCUCAUCGAUUGACGUUACCCGCAGAAGAAGCACCGGCUAACUCCGUGCCAGCAGCCGCGGUAAUACGGAGGGUGCAAGCGUUAAUCGGAAUUACUGGGCGUAAAGCGCACGCAGGCGGUGUCAAGUCGGAUGUGAAAUCCCCGGGCUCAACCUGGGAACUGCAUUCGAAACUGGCAGGCUAGAGUCUUGUAGGGGGGUAGAAUUCCAGGUGUAGCGGUGAAAUGCG
Molecule: ribosomal RNA, 595 nt
Filed under: uncultured Klebsiella sp.
Lineage: Bacteria; Pseudomonadati; Pseudomonadota; Gammaproteobacteria; Enterobacterales; Enterobacteriaceae
Description: bacterial SSU rRNA
Rfam family: Bacterial small subunit ribosomal RNA
Source: RNAcentral